Long non-coding RNA from Mizuhopecten yessoensis (Yesso scallop), 580 nucleotides. RefSeq lists it as uncharacterized. NCBI's taxonomy places the organism in Eukaryota, Metazoa, Mollusca, Bivalvia, Pectinida, Pectinidae. The transcript is spliced from 2 exons. The record is from RefSeq and is a predicted model, not a curated record.
AACACUGAUAGGGUGUGUAACACUGAUAGGGUGUGUAACACUGACACUGAUAGGGUGUAACACUGAUAGGGUGUGUAACAAACAUGGACACACUAAGGACCUGGAAACUGACAUACAUGUGUAAGAGGCUUUAAAGACGAUUAUACCUUGUCAGAAGUUUAAACUUUAAAAAAAAAUCAAUUAAGUGUUACAAUCAAAUAAAAUCAAUCUAUUAUCUUUCCUACUGGCCAUAUUAAAUACAUCUGCAAAAUACCCACUACAUCUACCAGGUUGAGAAGCGGGUCAGAGUAUGUUAACCAGCGGAGAACAACAUUACUACGAGUUAAUCUGGGCAGAUCCUGGUUGUUGUGAAAUAGUAGUGAUCAAGUCUAUAUUCUUGAUAAAUUCUCCAAUAACAAUUUGAUUGUAUUAAAAUUGAUCCCAUUUCCAUAAACAAAGCACUUUUAUGAUCGACACCCCUGCUCCUGACCUUUGGUAGGAGUAUACACUAGAUGGCACAGUAAUAGGAUUAUGUCCAGAUUCACAUACAACCAAACACACAAAUUGUACCACUCAUGCCAUCAAAAAACACAUGAUUAAU